This 90-nucleotide transfer RNA is filed under the name Cronartium comandrae C4. RNAcentral's name for it is "tRNA-Leu (TAG) (tRNA-Leu-TAG-7-1)". It matches the Rfam family "tRNA". From Rfam's summary of the family: Transfer RNA (tRNA) molecules are approximately 80 nucleotides in length. Their secondary structure includes four short double-helical elements and three loops (D, anti-codon, and T loops). The record is from RNAcentral. Lineage: Eukaryota; Fungi; Basidiomycota; Pucciniomycetes; Pucciniales; Coleosporiaceae.
GGUUGGAUAGCCAAGUGCAGUUAAGGCAGCACACCUAGAAUUGUGUCUCAGCUAACACUGAGGUCCCUGGUUCAAAUCCAGGUCUGAUCA